RNAcentral lists this long non-coding RNA (2191 nucleotides) under Pelobates cultripes (western spadefoot toad). The record is from RNAcentral. Lineage: Eukaryota; Metazoa; Chordata; Amphibia; Anura; Pelobatidae.
GCAAUCUUAAACUAACACCUCCAAAUCUCCAACUAUUCUUGGCCAAAACGCUAGUAUUCAACAACUAAUAAAACAGUUAUUUGCUAGGUUAUUUGGCUGUCAUUCUUAUCAGUAUCACUAGACUGUGACAAACUGAUUCACAUAUAAUUUAAAACAAUACAGCAACAUAAAUUAAACCACUUUCAAGUUAAACUGCACACUUAUCACACAUUAUCACAGUCACCAUUUACACAGAAUAAACAGUUAACAGCUGUAUUCAGAACAUAUUAUUGGAAGGUAUACCAAUUUUAGUUUAGAUUUAUUUUAGGGAUUCUUAUGUGUACAUUUUCUUAAUUAACUUCAUUACUUUAAUCUACUAUAGUAUUGUAUUUAAAGAAAGGAUCCAUUUAUAUAGCGCGCUCAUAACUCAACUAUUUGUAUAAAACUACCAUUAACUAAUCUGAGAUGAUGCUGCAUCAAUUUAAAUCCUAUAGAAAUUGAACAAACAUCUGGACCAGAUUAAACAGACAUGGUUUCACCUGAAUCUUUCAGAACUCUCAGAGACUUAAAAAAUUUAUACUAUACCAUGUUUUAAAGGCAUGGCAAACCUUUAGACCGGUCAGUCUCCAAGAGCCCUUAGUAACACAGGUAAAAACCUUUUGUCCAUGAUGUCUGAUUCAGGCUAUAUACCACAAUUUAAAAUAUCACAUAAUGUGAGACAUAGAAGACACAAGCAGUAGUUAUUACACUGGAUCAUUUAAAAGGAACCUGUUGCAAUAAAAGGUUAGUUUACAGUGCAAAAUAAAGCAUGUGUUGGACCGCUGAAAAUGUAAAUGUUGCUCUGUUAUUUUCAAACAUAAAUCAUAUUUAGUAUGGAUCCUUUGCAACAAACACACAGGGCAGGGAAGAUGUGCUGAUUGGUGUUCUAUACAAUUAAUCCCAUAUGGGGAAUUAACUUUAAAAUACUAAUGAAGUGACUUUUUGUCUCAGUUAUAAAAUAUACUGAGCUCAUCAUGCAAACAAUGCAACACAUUUACACUAUCCCACUCUCAUAAUAAGUGUAGUGGGCUUAUGGUAUUUUUAAAGCAACAAUCAUACCAGGCACAUAGAUCCCAUGUGAAAUAACUUACAAUAAAACAGAGUAAUAAACUUAUACUUCUAUGCAACAGAAAGAAUAAAGUAAAAAGAUUUAAGUAGGUCUAUCAGGUACAACCUAUGAGUCAUUUCUUUUCUAAUAUACAGUACUGCUAUCUUGCAGAAAGAUAAGUCCUACGCUCACUCCCAUCACUACUGGGCAGCAGCAAGGACUACAGUACACAUCAGCCCCAAUAUAUGGUAAAAACCAAAGAAAAACAAGUUACCUGCGUUCUCUCCUUAAUCCCUAUGUAUUUUUAAAACCUCCAUUUGUUUAAAAGUACUACUAUCUUAUAUAUACACAUAUACAUAUACACACACACAUAUAUACAUACAUAUACACAUAUAUACAUACACACACAUAUACAUGUACAUAUAUUGGUCACUCAGGACAUGAACUCACAUUUCCCAUACUGCUGACUCAGAGUGGGGACACUACUAACUUACCAAAGUGUGUCCCCAAUAUAGACAAACAAUCACCCACAAAAAACACUUAAGACAAACAAAGGUGACCGGGAGAAAGAGAAGUUUGGGUUAUACUUAUAGAUCUACAAACCGUGCUACUCAGAACACCUAUAGACUUAAUAAACCGGAGACUCUUAUGGUCUCAAAAACCUGUAUCUACCUGAGAUACCCUGUAUCUAUCUUAGAUACUAACCUGGGUUACCAAAACCCUAUAAUAAACCGGAGACCUCUUAUGGUCUCAAAAACCUGUAUCUAUCUUAGAUACUAACCUGGGUUACCAAAACCCUAUAUAUAUUUAGACCAAAUGUCUAAUAAACCGGAGACCUCUUAUAGUCUCAAUAUAACUAGAGUCCUUACACCUUUCCUAUCUACUGGAUACAGUCUUACUGAACCAAACGGGGGUCAUAGACAAUCAGCGUCAAUAAGACACAAAAAGGCUACUCACCGCAAUGGUUUUGCUGAUCCAUCCAUCCCACUUCUAGACACCAAGCUGAAAGGGUUAAUGUUGUAAUGGACUCUAAUCCCCUCGGUUCUCGAUCCCUCGGUCACCAUAAUCAACGUUGAUGGAGAAUCAUUUGUAAGCAAUAACACACGGACAACAGCUUUACAAGAC